GAUGAACGCUGGCGGCGUGCCUAAUACAUGCAAGUCGAGCGAACAGACGAGGAGCUUGCUCCUCUAACGUUAGCGGCGGACGGGUGAGUAACACGUGGAUAACCUACCUAUAAGACUGGGAUAACUUCGGGAAACCGGAGCUAAUACCGGAUAAUAUAUUGAACCGCAUGGUUCAAUAGUGAAAGACGGUUUUGCUGUCACUUAUAGAUGGAUCCGCGCCGCAUUAGCUAGUUGGUAAGGUAACAGCUUACCAAGGCAACGAUGCGUAGCCGACCUGAGAGGAUGAUCGGCCACACUGGAACUGAGACACGGUCCAGACUCCUACGGGAGGCAGCAGUAGGGAAUCUUCCGCAAUGGGCGAAAGCCUGACAGAGCAACGCCGCGUGAGUGAUGAAGGUCUUCGGAUCGUAAAACUCUGUUAUUGGGGAAGAACAAAUGUGUAAGUAACUAUGCACGUCUUGACGGUACCUAAUCAGAAAGCCACGGCUAACUACGUG
RNAcentral lists this ribosomal RNA (497 nucleotides) under uncultured bacterium. Its description in RNAcentral is "partial 16S ribosomal RNA". It matches the Rfam family "Bacterial small subunit ribosomal RNA", at positions 28 to 507 of the family's 1533-position model. The record is from RNAcentral.